Molecule: ribosomal RNA, 495 nt
Filed under: Neisseria weaveri
Lineage: Bacteria; Pseudomonadati; Pseudomonadota; Betaproteobacteria; Neisseriales; Neisseriaceae
Description: bacterial SSU rRNA
Rfam family: Bacterial small subunit ribosomal RNA
Source: RNAcentral
GAGUUUGAUUAUGGCUCAGAUUGAACGCUGGCGGCAUGCUUUACACAUGCAAGUCGGACGGCAGCACAGAGAAGCUUGCUUCUUGGGUGGCGAGUGGCGAACGGGUGAGUAAUAUAUUGGAACGUACCGAGUAAUGGGGGAUAACUUGCCGAAAGGUAAGCUAAUACCGCAUACGCUCUGAGGAGGAAAGCAGGGGACCUUCGGGCCUUGCGUUAUUCGAGCGGCCAAUAUCUGAUUAGCUAGUUGGUGGGGUAAAGGCCUACCAAGGCGACGAUCAGUAGCGGGUCUGAGAGGAUGAUCCGCCACACUGGGACUGAGACACGGCCCAGACUCCUACGGGAGGCAGCAGUGGGGAAUUUUGGACAAUGGGCGCAAGCCUGAUCCAGCCAUGCCGCGUGUCUGAAGAAGGCCUUCGGGUUGUAAAGGACUUUUGUCAGGGAAGAAAAGGUUGUGGCUAAUAUCCAUGACUGAUGACGNACCUGAAGAAUAAGCACC